RNAcentral lists this long non-coding RNA (544 nucleotides) under Homo sapiens (human). RNAcentral's name for it is "non-protein coding lnc-HSPB7-5:3". Lineage: Eukaryota; Metazoa; Chordata; Mammalia; Primates; Hominidae. The record is from RNAcentral.
AGACCCACGACACGGACAAGGAGCACAAGUGCCCACACUGCGACAAGAAGUUCAACCAGGUAGGGAACCUGAAGGCCCACCUGAAGAUCCACAUCGCUGACGGGCCCCUCAAGUGCCGAGAGUGUGGGAAGCAGUUCACCACCUCAGGGAACCUGAAGCGGCACCUUCGGAUCCACAGCGGGGAGAAGCCCUACGUGUGCAUCCACUGCCAGCGACAGUUUGCAGACCCCGGCGCUCUGCAGCGGCACGUCCGCAUUCACACAGGUGAGAAGCCAUGCCAGUGUGUGAUGUGCGGUAAGGCCUUCACCCAGGCCAGCUCCCUCAUCGCCCACGUGCGCCAGCACACCGGGGAGAAGCCCUACGUCUGCGAGCGCUGCGGCAAGAGGUCCUGCCCCCUCCCCCACACCCACUGGCCAGACACCCCACAGUGAGGGGGCUCAGAAGACAAACUGGGGGCUUGGCUGGGGACUGAGCUGACUGCUGCCCACGCCCCAGGCUCUGGUCCUAGGGGUCCUUUUCAGUCUAGAGGGUGAGGCAGGAGGCC